This 253-nucleotide ribosomal RNA is filed under the name uncultured bacterium. Its description in RNAcentral is "partial 16S ribosomal RNA". It matches the Rfam family "Bacterial small subunit ribosomal RNA", at positions 524 to 776 of the family's 1533-position model. The record is from RNAcentral.
GACGUAGGGCGCGAGCGUUGUCCGGAAUUAUUGGGCGUAAAGAGCUCGUAGGCGGUCUGUCACGUCGGCUGUGAAAACCCGAGGCUCAACCUCGGGCCUGCAGUCGAUACGGGCAAACUAGAGUACUGCAGGGGAGACUGGAAUUCCUGGUGUAGCGGUGAAAUGCGCAGAUAUCAGGAGGAACACCGGUGGCGAAGGCGGGUCUCUGGGCAGUAACUGACGCUGAGGAGCGAAAGCGUGGGGAGCGAACAGG